UCCCUGGUGGUCUGGUGGUUAGGACUCUGUGCUUUCAAUGCUGAGGGCCUGGGUUCAGUCCCUGGUCAGGGAA
RNAcentral lists this transfer RNA (73 nucleotides) under Bos taurus (domestic cattle). It matches the Rfam family "tRNA". From Rfam's summary of the family: Transfer RNA (tRNA) molecules are approximately 80 nucleotides in length. Their secondary structure includes four short double-helical elements and three loops (D, anti-codon, and T loops). The record is from Rfam by way of RNAcentral. RNAcentral also lists the same sequence under 2 other names. Lineage: Eukaryota; Metazoa; Chordata; Mammalia; Artiodactyla; Bovidae.